RNAcentral lists this ribosomal RNA (253 nucleotides) under uncultured bacterium. RNAcentral's name for it is "partial 16S ribosomal RNA". It matches the Rfam family "Bacterial small subunit ribosomal RNA", at positions 524 to 776 of the family's 1533-position model. The record is from RNAcentral.
UACGUAGGGACCAAGCGUUGUUCGGAUUUACUGGGCGUAAAGGGCGCGUAGGCGGCGCGGUAAGCCACUUGUGAAAUCUCUGAGCUUAACUCAGAACGGCCAAGUGAUACUGCAGUGCUAGAGUGUGGAAGGGGCAAUCGGAAUUCUUGGUGUAGCGGUGAAAUGCGUAGAUAUCAAGAGGAACACCUGAGGUGAAGACGGGUUGCUGGGCCAACACUGACGCUGAUGCGCGAAAGCCAGGGGAGCAAACGGG